This is a long non-coding RNA of Astatotilapia calliptera (eastern happy), 2260 nucleotides long. Lineage: Eukaryota; Metazoa; Chordata; Actinopteri; Cichliformes; Cichlidae. The record is from Ensembl.
CUCUGACCAUUUAUGAUCUCACUACCACAAAUAACAGAAUUCAAACUAUCCACAAACUGUCUCAUGACUCCACAGAAUAUUUUCCCUAAGUACUUGAGGAUCAUCUAUCUGUUUUUUUUUGGAAAACUUAAGGGGAGGUGUUAUGACCCGGCUCGAGGCUGCAACAUAAAAAAGGAGACGAAUAUCAGAGUGUAAGUGAGAAGAGGUUUUAGCUUAAAAUGACAUCCCAGGUUGGCUCAAAUGGCUGUUGCCACAAAGGCAACGACUAGUGAGCUUCCUGAAUAGCCUGCCACAGGUAUGCGUUUAUUUAUACCUUACUAGGUGUGGCCAAUUAGCAACAGCUGAACACACUGAGGAGAUUAGGGGCUGCAGAGGGGCGUAACACCACCUCACUCAAAAGGGUUCCUCUAGGACCCCUAAAUUUAUUAAGCCAAAGCCAAAACUUGAGCAGUUUAUUACCUGCUCUCCUGACACAAAACUAAAUACUCGCAUUUCUUAAGUUGGCAUCUUUUUUUUUUUUUUUCAUCCUUUUUUUUUUUUUUUUUAGGACAGGGGGAAAGAAUGAAAGAAAGAGGGGGAGAGAAAGAAAGAAAACCAAAGGGGAGAAGAGACGGUGAGAAGGGGGGGAAGAGAGAGAGAGAGAAAAAAAAACAAAAAACUCCUGGGUCACCUGUAUGGAGAGAGAGAAAAACAAAAAAAAAAACAGGGGAGACAGCAAACAACAAAGAGCAACAUAAUAAUAGAAAGAAAAAAAAAGCACCAUCACAAUAAACUAGCUAGUCAUAGAUAUCAAUAGUUACUAAAUAAUAAACGAUAUUGUGCAGCACGCAAGAUAGACAGCGCACAGUGUGCUUUGAGGCAGCAGCCAAGAAAGCUGUAGUCCGCAUCUGUGAAUACCCAUGUGUACACCUGUGUGCAUACCUGUGUCCUGGAGGUGUACAGGUCCUGCAGAGAUGGGAGUCUGCAGCCAAUCACCUUCUCAGCAGAGCGCACAACACGCUGCAGUCUCUGUUUGUCCCUGAUAGUGGCUCCAGCGUACCACACGGUGAUGGAGGAGGUGAGGAUGGACUCGAUGAUUGCGGUGUAGAAUUGUAUCAUCAUCCGUGUUGGCAGGUUGAAUUUCUUCAGCUGCCUCAGGAAGUACAUCCUCUGCUGGGCUUUCUUAAUGACGGAGGUGAUGGUGGGCUCCCACUUCAGGUCCUGGGUGAUGGUGGUACCCAGGAAGCGGAAUGAGUCCACAGAGGUGAUAAGGGUGUCAGUCAGGAUGAUGGGGGGAGUGGAGCUGUGUGCUUCCUGAAGUCUACAAUAAUCUCCACUGUCUUCUGGGCAUUCAGCACCAGGUUGUUGUGGCUGCACCAGGACACCAGACGUUCAACCUCCCUCCUGUAGGCAGACUCAUCCCCAUCCGAGAUGAGUCCAAUAACGGUGGUGUCAUCUGCAAACUUGAUUAGCUUGAAAGACUGGUGGGUGGAGGUGCAGCAGUUGGUGCACAGGGAGAAGAGCAGAGGGGAAAGAGCACAGCCCUGAGGGGAGCCGGUGCUGAUGGUCCGGGAGUACGAGACAUUCUUUCCCAGCCUCACAUGCUGCUUCCUGUCCGUCAGGAAGUCAGUGAUCCACCGGCAGAUGGGAUCAGGCACAUUCAUCUGGGAAAGCUUGCCUUGGAGAUGGUCUGGAAGGAUGGUGUUGAAGGCAGAGCUGAAGUCCACAAACAGGAUCCUGGCGUAGGUUCCUGGGGAGUCCAGAUGCUGCAGGAUGAAGUGUAGAGCCAUGUUGAUAGCGUCGUCUACAGACCUAUAACCUACGUUGUUGGAGAGAGAAAUAACAUCGUGGAAGAGGAGCUUAUCACACAUUUGAUUUCCAUGUGUGACAACUGCAAGUGUCCAGAGUGAGGACAGACUGAGGGAGCCACUGCUGCACAUCACCUGUGAGGCUUUGCACCCCUGAUGAUCCACCAGGACAAACUCAGCAGUGAGGAAGAGGAGGAGGAAGAGCCAGCAGCAGCUGACAGAUGGAGAGAAUAGACAGACUGUUCCCUGUUUGUGAAGGACUGCUAGGAAAGUUUAAAAUAACUAAUUGCCUGUCCUGAAUCAGUCUCAUUAGGUAAUGUUCAAAAUAUUUUAUCAUUCCAGUGUUUUCAGUGUGGGAGAAAGUACUCAGGGCCUUCAAGUUACACACUAUGAAAGGCAGCAACAAGUUUAAUAUUCAGAAACCUAAAGUACAAACCGGAUUCCAAAAAAGUUGGGACACUAAACAAAUUGUG